Molecule: long non-coding RNA, 487 nt
Organism: Pygocentrus nattereri (red-bellied piranha)
Lineage: Eukaryota; Metazoa; Chordata; Actinopteri; Characiformes; Serrasalmidae
Exons: 2
Source: RefSeq, a predicted model, not a curated record
UUACUGCAGAUGAUCAGGAUCUGCUGUGGAGGUCAGUCACAGAUUCAGCUCCGUCACUCAGUCAGAGUCACUAAGACUGUAAAGUGAAGCAUGUUUACUGGACUCUGGACUCUGUACAGCCCCUCAGGUUUGAUGUUAUUGACCUGUGGGAUCUUGUUACCAUUCAGAUGGGAUGUUUUAGACGGUGCAUGACAGUCUCAGCAUUUUGAUGCAUGUAAGACGGCUUUAGGUUCUGCAUUGAUGAUUGGGCUGAAAAGAUGAAGAGCAGAAAUCACAGUUGAAGAUGGUUUUUAGAUGAUUUUCAUGUGCUUGCUGAGUUUAACUUGUGCCCAGGGUCCCAUGAAGACCAUGACUGAUCCCUGAUUAUACAGUAUAGUUCAAACAGUUCGCACUGCUUACUGUAUUUAAAGACUUUCAUAUAGAAAACUGUGGAAAUGUUUACUGUAAAUGUUAUUAAACACAUGGGAAAUAUUUACCCUGUUCAUUA